GAAAUGCGAUAAGUAAUGUGAAUUGCAGAAUUCAGUGAAUCAUCGAAUCUUUGAACGCACAUUGCGCCCGCUGGUAUUCCAGCGGGCAUGCCCGUUCGAGCGUCAUUUUAAUCCCUUCCCGUGGAGACUCUUCUAUUCUGUAGUGGAGUGUCCAUGGGGCGUUGGCAUUGGACGCCUUAUUUUUAGGCGACCGGAGCCGAAAUGAAGUGGCGGACUCGCAGCGGCCCCUAGCGCAGUAGAACAAGCCUUCUCGCUUAGGAGAGCCGCAGCGGUGGACUACAGCCCUACAUGCUUUUUUGAAAAAAAAAGGCUACAUCUAAAAACUUGACCUCGGAUCGGGUAGGACUACCCGCUGAACUUAA
Molecule: unclassified non-coding RNA, 362 nt
Filed under: uncultured Sordariomycetes
Lineage: Eukaryota; Fungi; Ascomycota; Sordariomycetes
Description: sequence contains ITS1
Rfam family: 5.8S ribosomal RNA (bases 1-105)
Source: RNAcentral